GAUAACAUAAAAAUUUAGAGAUGGAAAAAAUAAAAUAAUAUUUUAUUUAUUUUUUAUUUACUUUUUGUAAUUGACUUUGAUUUUAGGGUUAAUCGUGUACAUAUCCCUAUAAAUAUAUUGAAUUGCAAAUAUAUAUAUCUCUAUAAAAUUCAGCUUUCAUAUGUUGUCCCUGCAAAAAUUCUAGUAUUUUCAAAUAUAUCCCUACCGUUAGGAUCCGUUUUUAUCGCUCUUCAAUUAACGUGGGACUUUUAGAAUGAUAUAUUUGUGAUGGUAAAAAUGUCAUUUCACUUAUAAAAUAAGCAGUGCUUUAAACAGUAAGAAAUCAGAGAAAUAUAUUUAAAAACAUUAUAACUUUUAUAGGAAUAAUAUAAAAAAGUUGAACUCUAUAAAAAUAUAUUUAUAAUUUACUAUAUUUGUAGGAAUCUGUAUAAAAUUGACUCUCAAUUUCAAGGGAAUUGUAACUCAAUUACACUAUUUCAAAAAAUUUGAAGCUUGAGUUUUUAACCGCAGACGAAAAAUA
RNAcentral lists this long non-coding RNA (520 nucleotides) under Ananas comosus (pineapple). Its description in RNAcentral is "long non-coding RNA (ACOM_LNC015530)". The record is from RNAcentral. Lineage: Eukaryota; Viridiplantae; Streptophyta; Magnoliopsida; Poales; Bromeliaceae.